RNAcentral lists this ribosomal RNA (301 nucleotides) under uncultured bacterium. RNAcentral describes it as "partial 16S ribosomal RNA". It matches the Rfam family "Bacterial small subunit ribosomal RNA", at positions 509 to 807 of the family's 1533-position model. The record is from RNAcentral.
CAGUAGCCACGGGAAUACGGAGGAUGCAAGCGUUAUCCGGAAUCAUUGGGCGUAAAGGGUCCUGAGGUGGUUUGCCCAGUCUACUGUGAAAGAUCAGGGCUCAACCCUGAAAAUGCGGUGGAAACUAGCAGGCUAGAAUACGGUAGGGGCAGGGGGAAUUCCCGGUGUAGCGGUGAAAUGCAUAGAUAUCGGGAAGAACACCAAUGGCGAAAGCACCCUGCUGGGCCGAUAUUGACACUGACAGACGAAAGCUAGGGGAGCAAAUGGGAUUAGAUACCCCUGUAGUCCCUGUCUCUUAUAC